UACGUAGGGCGCAAGCGUUAUCCGGAAUUAUUGGGCGUAAAGAGCUCGUAGGCGGUUUGUCGCGUCUGCUGUGAAAGACCGGGGCUCAACUCCGGGCCUGCAGCCGAUACGGGCAGACUAGAGUUCGGCAGGGGAGACUGGAAUUCCUGGUGUAGCGGUGAAAUGCGCAGAUAUCAGGAGGAACACCGGUGGCGAAGGCGGGUCUCUGGGCCGAUACUGACGCUGAGGAGCGAAAGCGUGGGGAGCGAACAGG
This 253-nucleotide ribosomal RNA is filed under the name uncultured bacterium. RNAcentral describes it as "partial 16S ribosomal RNA". It matches the Rfam family "Bacterial small subunit ribosomal RNA", at positions 524 to 776 of the family's 1533-position model. The record is from RNAcentral.